UACAGAGGUGUCAAACGUUGUCCGGAAUUACUGGGCGUAAAGGGCGUGUAGGCGGUUGCGUAAGUCAGACGUGAAAUCUCAGGGCUCAACCCUGGAAUUGCGUUUGAAACUGCGUAGCUAGAGUUCGGAAGAGGAGGGCGGAAUUCCAGGUGUAGCGGUGAAAUGCGUAGAUAUCUGGAGGAACACCUGUGGCGAAGGCGGCUCUCUGGUCCGAUACUGACGCUGAGGCGCGAAAGCUAGGGGAGCAAACAGG
RNAcentral lists this ribosomal RNA (253 nucleotides) under uncultured bacterium. RNAcentral describes it as "partial 16S ribosomal RNA". It matches the Rfam family "Bacterial small subunit ribosomal RNA", at positions 524 to 776 of the family's 1533-position model. The record is from RNAcentral.